Long non-coding RNA from Numida meleagris (helmeted guineafowl), 2194 nucleotides. RefSeq lists it as uncharacterized. Lineage: Eukaryota; Metazoa; Chordata; Aves; Galliformes; Numididae. The record is from RefSeq and is a predicted model, not a curated record. The transcript has 3 exons.
UUGACGUCACUAGGUUAUGUUUGCAUGCGGGGGUGCGCAUGCGCCUGGCGUCGUCUCGCGGGUGCUAGGCAACGCGCUGGAGUCGACUCUCCGUUAGUGCGGCGCUGAGCCGUCGGAUUGGUCGCAGCACCAGCUCCCGAAGGGGAAGCUGAGGCGGCGGGUUACUGAAGGGCGUCCGGAGAACUCCAGAGAGAGCCAGGAUGUCGGACUCCGAGGCUGCAUGAAGCAGUCUCGAGACUGGAUGUGCUCAAAAUCCAUAAACGGGCUUAAACGGCUUCCGUAGGUCCCCAAGGCUGCUUGCUUGCCUCGCGUCAGUUCACUGUUGGGUUUGUUGCUCUUCAGGUACUCCAGGGUGUGGUCUACAACACCUUACAGGUCUGAGUGACCGAAUUCCAUUCUUUCUACCUGAUCCUUCACCUGAUAUUUAUUUCAACCUUUAAGUCAUCGGUUGCUAAACCCAAAGAGUUCACAAGGCAAAGGCACUUCAAGAACGAUCCAGAUAUACAAAUCCAGCAUCGAUAUCUCAUGAGUGAUUAGUCUGCUGUGAACAUUUGGAUGCAUUCAAGAAAGGACGUAGGAGAAGUGGGCUCGUGUUCAGUUUUCAGGAUUUUAAUUCAUUUCAGUCCUCAUCAAUCCUUUAUACUUCAGAGAGUGCAAGGACAUCAGGUGGGAUCAGAAGGCUUUGCCAUAUCUACAGCAAAGCAAUCAAUUUGAAUUUUGGAAGGACUUAAUGGUUCAGUCAUAGAUUUCAGUGACAGUUUGCUGCAAUGCCAGCAUAAAGUUUCCACCUUCCACACAAAACUGUGUAUUCCCAACUCAUUGUGCACUUACUUUUUUGAGACUAUCCAGACUUUCCUGACAAAGGGGAAAAUGCUUGCUUUUACCCUGCCCCAUUUUUAUGUUCUCCUCUACAGUGCAGCCCAUGGAAAACUGUGUCAGCACUGCUGGAUACGGAGAAGAUGAAAAGGGAGGAAGAAGUGCCUGGGAGAGGUCUCUAGUAUAGCCAGGGAAUUCUGUAGGCAUAUACCAGGGUGAUGAACCGUGUUGUGCCCUCCCUCAGUAGAAAAGGGGAUGUCAAGGCAGUUUGAUCUAAGCACUACUGCUGUGAUGCAGUGAGGCAAGAGUUCAGAUUUGUGGACAAACUAAUUAUCAGAGCUGGUGGCUGCAGAAAGCCCCAGAAUAUGUUUACAUUCCCAGUGAGCACUCUUGGGCAGGAUUUGGCUUUAUGUUCAUAACCAUAUAGAAGACUGCAGGGGCAGGCACUGCUCUCAGCAGCCAUGUACAAGUAUCUUCCCUGAUUCCUUAAGCCUUGUCUCAGUAAGCUUACUGUAAGUUGACUGAGCUCAGUAAGUUUACUAAGCUCAGUAAGCUUAUAUUCAAGUUAUGAUUAAGAUAAUCUAAUAUUAAGAUAUGUUUCAGGUGCAAGUGGCAGCAGGUCCUCGAAGUUGUUUUACUCAGGGGGGUGUCUAAAGGAAACAGAAAAGCUGGCUCAUCUCCACUACUAAGUGCUUCUUGCUAACAGCUGGUGCAGGAAGAUGGUGUGUUGGUCAGAAAAAGGAUUAAAAUUGCUUGUUUACCAUCAGCGCCAACAUUUCCUGUUCCAAGGGUAUGGUUGAUAUGUGUACUGUUCCAUGUCCACUCCAGAAUUAUUACAAUAGUGAUUUCUGGUGCUUGAUCAGUGACUGAGUGGUUUGCAAAUGGGGCUUUUAACCACAAUAGUGCUAAUAGUAAAAUCUAUAUGGAGAUGUUUUAAUGCAGACCUGAACUGCAGCAGCCUUUUAACUUCUCCUCAGACAAAAAUAAUACAGUAAGUUAGCACUGAAAUGUCAUGCACAGUCAAUUUGAAAGUGAAAUAUCUUACGUUGAAAAAAUUGAGAGUUAAUUGAACAACAAAUAUCUUGCAGCCUUUUGAAAUAACAGUUCAAAUACAGUCAAUACCAGCCCUCUUUCUUCUCUCAAACACAAAAAGUGUUUGUUUCUUUUAAAGUUCAAAAUGUCACAAAUGUGCCUUUCAACCACAUUUAUUAAGAAAUUCACUGAAGGAUGGUUAGAAAGAAACAGAAGCUUUAAAUGUUCUUCAGCGUUUAUACUGCUGAUUGUGUGGACUUGGAUCUCAUUCACCCCAAUUCUGUACAACAAACAAAAACUAUUUCCAUGACUCACAAGCAAAUAAAUAUGCAGUGUUUGGGUAAAA